GUUGUAUGGUUAAGUGACUAAGCGUACACGGUGGAUGCCUUGGCAGUCAGAGGCGAUGAAAGGCGUAAUAACUUGCGAUAAGCCCAGAUUAGGUAGUAAUAACCUUUUGAGUCUGGGAUUCCUGAAUGGGGAAACCCACUUGCAUAAGCAAGUAUCCUGUUGUGAAUACAUAGCAACAGGAGGCAAACCGGGGGAACUGAAACAUCUAAGUACCCCGAGGAAGAGAAAUCAACCGAGAUUCCGAAAGUA
RNAcentral lists this ribosomal RNA (249 nucleotides) under Vibrio splendidus. RNAcentral describes it as "partial 23S ribosomal RNA". It matches the Rfam family "Bacterial large subunit ribosomal RNA", at positions 1 to 245 of the family's 2925-position model. The record is from RNAcentral. Lineage: Bacteria; Pseudomonadati; Pseudomonadota; Gammaproteobacteria; Vibrionales; Vibrionaceae.